AGUGGCGGACGGGUGAGUAACACGUAAGAAUUUGCCUUUAGGAGGGGGAUAACAACUGGAAACGGUUGCUAAUACCCCAUACGCUUUCGAGUGAAAUGGAUUUCCGCCUAAAGAGAAGCUUGCGGCUGAUUAGCUUGUUGGUAGGGUAAUGGCCUACCAAGGCGACGAUCAGUAUCUGGUUUGAGAGGACGAUCAGACUCACUGGAACUGAGACACGGUCCAGACUCCUGCGGGAGGCAGCAGUAGGGAAUUUUCCGCAAUGGGCGAAAGCCUGACGGAGCAAUACCGCGUGAGGGAUGACUGCCUAUGGGUUGUAAACCUCUUUUUUCAGGGAGGAACAAAAUGACGUGUACCUGAAGAAUAAGCAUCGGCUAACUCCGUGCCAGCAGCCGCGGUAAGACGGAGGAUGCAAGUGUUAUCCGGAAUUACUGGGCGUAAAGCGUCUGUAGGUGGCUCGAUAAGUCAACUGUUAAAUCUUGAAGCUCAACUUCAAAAUCGCAGUCGAAACUAUCGGACUAGAGUAUAGUAGAGGUAAAGGGAAUUUCCAGUGGAGCGGUGAAAUGCGUAGAUAUUGGAAAGAACACCGAUGGCGAAAGCACUUUACUGGGCUAUUACUGACACUCAGAGACGAAAGCUAGGGUAGCAAAUGGGAUUAGAUACCCCAGUAGUCCUAGCCGUAAACGAUG
RNAcentral lists this ribosomal RNA (686 nucleotides) under uncultured diatom. RNAcentral's name for it is "bacterial SSU rRNA". It matches the Rfam family "Bacterial small subunit ribosomal RNA", at positions 94 to 811 of the family's 1533-position model. The record is from RNAcentral. Lineage: Eukaryota; Bacillariophyta.